This 271-nucleotide ribosomal RNA is filed under the name uncultured bacterium. RNAcentral's name for it is "partial 16S ribosomal RNA". It matches the Rfam family "Bacterial small subunit ribosomal RNA", at positions 83 to 353 of the family's 1533-position model. The record is from RNAcentral.
UGGAGAUGGCGACCGGCGCACGGGUGAGUAACACGUAUCCAACCUGCCGAUAACUCGGGGAUAGCCUUUCGAAAGAAAGAUUAAUACCCGAUGGCAUAAUAGAACCGCAUGGUUUGAUUAUUAAAGAAUUUCGGUUAUCGAUGGGGAUGCGUUCCAUUAGGCAGUUGGUGGGGUAACGGCCCACCAAACCUUCGAUGGAUAGGGGUUCUGAGAGGAAGGUCCCCCACAUUGGAACUGAGACACGGUCCAAACUCCUACGGGAGGCAGCAUG